GACAGAGGGGCAAGCGUUGCUCGGAAUCACUGGGCGUAAAGGGCGCGUAGGCGGGAUGGCAAGUCGGUCGUGAAAUCCUUCGGCUCAACCGAAGAACGUCGCCGAUACUGCCGUUCUUGAGGGAUGCAGAGGAGAUUGGAAUUCCCGGUGUAGCGGUGAAAUGUGUAGAGAUCGGGAGGAACACCGGUGGCGAAGGCGGCAUCCUGGACCGAUACUGACGCUGAGGAGCGAAAAGCCAGGGGGAGCAAACGGGG
RNAcentral lists this ribosomal RNA (254 nucleotides) under uncultured bacterium. Its description in RNAcentral is "partial 16S ribosomal RNA". It matches the Rfam family "Bacterial small subunit ribosomal RNA", at positions 524 to 777 of the family's 1533-position model. The record is from RNAcentral.